RNAcentral lists this ribosomal RNA (828 nucleotides) under uncultured bacterium. Its description in RNAcentral is "bacterial SSU rRNA". It matches the Rfam family "Bacterial small subunit ribosomal RNA", at positions 23 to 898 of the family's 1533-position model. The record is from RNAcentral.
CUCAGAACGAACGCUGGCGGCAGGCUUAACACAUGCAAGUCGAACGCUGUAGCAAUACAGAGUGGCAGACGGGUGAGUAACGCGUGGGAACGUGCCCUUCGGUUCGGAAUAACUCAGGGAAACUUGAGCUAAUACCGGAUACGUGCGAGAGCAGAAAGAUUUAUCGCCGAAGGAUCGGCCCGCGUCCGAUUAGCUAGUUGGUGAGGUAAUGGCUCACCAAGGCGACGAUCGGUAGCUGGUCUGAGAGGAUGAUCAGCCACAUUGGGACUGAGACACGGCCCAAACUCCUACGGGAGGCAGCAGUGGGGAAUAUUGGACAAUGGGCGCAAGCCUGAUCCAGCCAUGCCGCGUGAGUGAUGAAGGCCCUAGGGUUGUAAAGCUCUUUCGCCAGGGACGAUAAUGACGGUACCUGGAUAAGAAGCCCCGGCUAACUUCGUGCCAGCAGCCGCGGUAAUACGAAGGGGGCUAGCGUUGUUCGGAUUUACUGGGCGUAAAGCGCACGUAGGCGGAUUUUUAAGUCAGGGGUGAAAUCCCGAGGCUCAACCUCGGAACUGCCCUUGAUACUGGAAGUCCCGAGUCCGGGAGAGGUGAGUGGAACUGCGAGUGUAGAGGUGAAAUUCGUAGAUAUUCGCAAGAACACCAGUGGCGAAGGCGGCUCACUGGCCCGGUACUGACGCUGAGGUGCGAAAGCGUGGGGAGCAAACAGGAUUAGAUACCCUGGUAGUCCACGCCGUAAACGAUGGAUGCUAGCCGUUGGGGAGCUUGCUCUUCAGUGGCGCAGCUAACGCUUUAAGCAUCCCGCCUGGGGAGUACGGUCGCAAGAUUAAA